Molecule: long non-coding RNA, 1502 nt
Filed under: Cricetulus griseus (Chinese hamster)
Lineage: Eukaryota; Metazoa; Chordata; Mammalia; Rodentia; Cricetidae
Description: lncRNA (ENSCGRG00015041861.1)
Source: RNAcentral
GUCAAGUUGACAUAAAACCAGCCAGUACAGCCUCCAAGCUCACUGUGCCCUGCAUCUUGUGUUCAGUGGUUCUGGUCUUACAUUAUUAGUUGAAAAGCAGUGUCCCAGUUCAAGCCAACAUUACCGAGGCUAAGUCCUUGCUGACAUUCACCAGCGAAGUGACAACAGAUGGGUCACCAUCUACACCAAGCCUUGGUUUCUCUAGAUGCAGAAUGGCGAUGGUGUUCUCUGUCUGGGUGCAAAGACGAGAGAGGAUGAGGACUCAGCCUGUUCCCGAAAAUGUCCCUUUCCUUUUAAAGGGCGGCCCACGUCUACAUGCCACGCAUUGACUCACUCGAAAAACCUACAAUGUUUUGGACCCAGGAGGAAUCCCAGACUUUUGAAAUGAAGCAAGGAACCUCCAGCAGCUGCCAGGUUUCCGAUACUUGCUGCUGUGUCUGAAGGUGGUCAGUUAUUCAGAGAGAGCUCCCAUGCCAUGGCCUGUGCUGCUGACACAGGAAGAAGGUGGUAUGUUGAUCAUUAUUGAAACCUGAAUCAGUGGACAACGGGCAAAACUACAAACCAUCCUGGGCCAUCACCACCUGAGCUGCACUUCUUCAGCGGCACCUGCUAGAAUCUAUGCUAGCUAAAGACAACUAGAAUGUCUGCUGUAAGAAUCACCUGGCCAACUAGAUAACCAUGGGAUGGUCAAUAAGAUAACUGUGGGUUUACAUUGAAAGCCAAUGACAUUUACAGAAACCACAGGAGGGAGCCUCUUAGCUACAAUAUGCCCUCCCUGGUCCUCCAAACAUCAGUCUUUAACCAGGUUCUGUCCUGCCCAGCAGAAGUCAUGAGCAUAACUGGGAGUGUGGCUCAGUGAUAGAGGCUUGCCUGGCAUGCUCGAGUACUAGAUCCUCAGUAUUGCUAACUGCAAAAGAAAAGAAAAAAAAAAAGUGAAGGAAUGGUACACAUUGUUUUCAACUGGGUCUAACAACACUGGUGUUCUGGUGUGUGUGUGUGUGUGUGUGUGUGUGUGUGAGAGAGAGAGAGAGAGAGAGAGAGAGAGAGAGAGAGGGAGAGAUUUCUUCUUGGGGGUAAAGGAAAUGUGUAGAGUGUUGGCAUUCCUCCCUCCCUUUUUUUCUUCCUUCCUGGUGACCCAUGGAAAGAGUCAGUUAUGAGUCACUAGCAAUUUCAUUUACUCUGACACGGAGGCCCCCUUUCUCUCUGCCUCUUUGCAACACACUAGUGUGCUAGCGCUCAGCAGGGCACAAAGCCCCCGACAAUAAUUGAUGAGGACAGGAAACUCCGCUGCUGCCAUAAUCUCGACUCCGAGACGUUGACCCCAGCUUUGGGACUGGGAGUUCUGAAACGCCAUCUCCGCAGCUGUAGUUAUGACUGUUUUAUGUCACACUGACCCAGCGUGUUUACGAUUUUUAACAACUGUCUGGAAAAAAAAAAAGUCUAGUGACAUCUGUUGAGAGUUUAAUUGUGAGUGUAAAAAAAUCAUUAAAGGAAUAGUCAAG